RNAcentral lists this ribosomal RNA (502 nucleotides) under uncultured bacterium. RNAcentral's name for it is "partial 16S ribosomal RNA". It matches the Rfam family "Bacterial small subunit ribosomal RNA", at positions 30 to 523 of the family's 1533-position model. The record is from RNAcentral.
AUUGAACGCUGGCGGCAGGCUUAACACAUGCAAGUCGAGCGGGGUGAUGGUGCUUGCACUAUCACUUAGCGGCGGACGGGUGAGUAAUGCUAGGAAUCUGCCUAUUAGUGGGGGACAACAUCUCGAAAGGGAUGCUAAUACCGCAUACGUCCUACGGGAGAAAGCAGGGGAUCACUUGUGACCUUGCGCUAAUAGAUGACCCUCAGUCGGAUUAGCUAGUUGGUGGGGUAAAGGCCUACCAAGGCGACGAUCUGUAGCGGGUCUGAGAGGAUGAUCCGCCACACUGGGUCUGAGACACGGCCCAGACUCCUACGGGAGGCAGCAGUGGGGAAUAUUGGACAAUGGGGGGAACCCUGAUCCAGCCAUGCCGCGUGUGUGAAGAAGGCCUUAUGGUUGUAAAGCACUUUAAGCGAGGAGGAGGCUCUUUUGGUUAAUACCCAAGAUGAGUGGACGUUACUCGCAGAAUAAGCACCGGCUAACUCUGUGCCAGCCGCCGCCGUAA